RNA transcript from Homo sapiens (human), 4866 nucleotides. It is a transcript of the gene named 5-phosphohydroxy-L-lysine phospho-lyase, with no coding region annotated. Lineage: Eukaryota; Metazoa; Chordata; Mammalia; Primates; Hominidae. The transcript has 9 exons. The record is from RefSeq and is marked reviewed.
CUAUCCCCACUCACCCCCGCUCAUCUUGCCUUGUAAAGGGCAUCACCACCUAUAUCUGCUCCAGGCAGAAACCACACGCUCCCCAGUCCUGCAUCAAUCCUGCCUCCUCCAUCUCCAUGAUGCCUCUUAACUCCCUCCACCUCUCCAUCUCCAUGGCCACCACCUGCUCUCACCUGGCGUCCUCCUCCUUGGUCUUCUCCUUCUACUUUUAUUCUUGUCAACUCCAUUAGACACAGCCAGAGGCCACCUCCUAAAAUAGGAGCUGACUUAUGUCCCUUUUCUCAUUAAAACUCUUCAGUGGCUUCACAUGGCACUGAGAAGAAAACUCAGGCUCCUUCCCAGCCCUGUGCACAUGUCCCCUGCAUGUCUCCCCACUUCCUCUCCUACCCUGCCCUCCUUAGGCCCUGGCCUCCCUCAUCUUCUCCUGGUUCCCGGAGCACACUGAGCUCUUUUCCUUCACAAGGCCUUGGAGCAUGCUGCUCCAUCUGCCUGGAAACCUCUCCCUCAAGACUCAGUACAUGAGUCACCUCCCCAUAGACGCUUCCCCUGACCCUCUGUGUUGGUCUGCUCUGGCUCUCAUAAGAAAAUACCAGAGACUGAGUGGCUUAAACAAAAGACAUUUAUUUUCUCACAGUCCUGGAGGCUGGAAGUCCAAGACCAAGGUGUUCGCAGGGUUGGUUUCUUCUAAGGCCUCUCUCCUUGGCUUGGAGAUGGCCCUGGUUGGUCUUCUGAGUGCAGGUGUCCCUGGUGUCUCUUUGUGUGUCCAGAUUUUCUCUUAUAAGGACACUGGUGAGAUUGGAUGAGGGGCCCCCUGACGGCCUCAUCUUAAUGUAAUCACCUCUCUUAUCUCCAUAUCCAUUCACAUACGGGCCAUUGCGAGCUACCGGGGAUUAGGGGUUCAACACAUAAAUUGGGGGUGGGGGGGUGCAGCUCAGCCCAUAAACAUGCCCCCUCUGGCUCGCUCUCCCAGGGCAUCCAUCGUAGCACUUAGAAAAAUGAUCACUUCUUCUUUUUUGGCUUUGUGGUGGCGUGUGUGUGUGUGUAUUUGUAUAUACACACAUAUAUAUAUAAAUACACAGACACACAUAUAUACAAACACACGCAUUCAUUUUCGUCCACAGUUCCUGGCUCAUAACUCCCACAGCCCUUGUUACACUCUUUUGUUACAACAUUGGGUGUGUCAGGCCUCAGGAGACAAUCACUCUAACCUCCUGCCCUUCCUUUUACCUGCCCAAGACAGGACUCUAAUCUUCCCUACCUUUCUGAUGGUGGGUCAUAAAACUCAUUCCAGAGACGGUCCCACCCCAUAUCCUGCUAGAAGGAAUGCUGCUGUCAUGAAGCUUCCAUAAAAACCAAGGGGACUGGAUUCAGAGAGCUUCCAGAUAACUGAACAUACAGAGGUUCUAGAAGGGUGGUGCGCCCAGGGAGGGCACAGGAAGCUCCAUGCCCUUCCUUCAUACCUCACCCUAUGCAUCUCUUUAUCUGUAUCUUUUAUAAUAUCCUUUAUAAUAAACCAGUAAAUGUAUUUCCCUUAGUUUUGUGAGCCACUCCAGCAAAUUGAACCUACAGAGGGAAUUGUGGGAACCUCAACUUGAAGCCAGUCGGUCAGAAGUUCCAAAGGUCACCCGGGCGCGGUGGUUCACGCCUGUAAUCCCAGCACUUUGGGAGGCCGAGGCGGGUGGAUCAGGAGUUUGAGACCAGCCUAGCCAACAUGGUGAAACCCUGUCUUUACUGAAAAUACGAAAAAUUAGCUGGGCAUCGUGGUGGGCGCCUGUAAUCCCAGCUACUUGGGAGGCUGAAGCAGGAGAAUUGCUUGAGCCUGAGAGGCAGAGGCUGCAGUGAGCUGAGAUCGCGCCACUGCACUCCAGCCCGGGCAACAGAGUGAGACUGUCUCAAAAAAAAAAAAAAAAAGAAAUUCCAAAGGUGGCCAGCAUGGUGGCUCAUGCCUGUAAUUCCAGUACUUUGAGGCCGAGGUGGGAGGAAUGCUUGAGCCCCCAGUCUGGGCAAUAUAGUGAGACCCCAUCUCUGCAAAAAAAGAAGUUCCAGAGGCCCAGACUUGCUACUGGUGCCCAGGGGGCUGUGGGGCAGCUUGGGCAUUGAGCCCUCAUGCUGUGGGAUCUGAUGCUGUCUCUAGGUAGAUAGUGUUGGAAUUGAAUUGGAGGACACCCAACUGGUGUCCGCUGCAGAACUGAUUGCUUGCCUGGUGGUGGGGAGAAAUCCUUACAUAUUUUUUGGAGUCACAGAAGUCUUCUGUGUUGAUUGUUGUAGUGUGAAAGCAGAGGAAAAACAAUGGUUUGGGUUUUUUCAAAACAACUUUCAUGACACAUACGAGAAUGUAAAUUCCAGAAGGGCCAAGGCCAUGUCUGUUUUACCUACUCUUUUUCCCCCAGCUUCUAGUACAUAGGAGGCAUUUGAUAUAUACCAAACAAACAAGCAAGUGACUGACUAGUUGAUGUCCUGAGAAUCUUCUUGCUGCUGGAAGGGUCCUCCUGCCCUCAGCAUUUCUCUCUGGGAAGCUCUUAGACUACUCUCUCAGUCAUGCCCACCUUUUCGGUCAUAGGUCAGAAGCCAAUGACCUGGCCCUGAGGCUGGCUCGCCACUACACGGGACACCAGGACGUGGUGGUAUUAGAUCAUGCGUAUCACGGCCACCUGAGCUCCCUGAUUGACAUCAGUCCCUACAAGUUCCGCAACCUGGAUGGCCAGAAGGAGUGGGUCCACGUGGUAUGCACUGCCCAACUCAACAACAGGUCGGUGCCUGUCCCCAAGCCCGGAUAACAUGGCGCUGUCACUCCCCACAGGCACCUCUCCCAGACACCUACCGGGGCCCCUACCGGGAGGACCACCCCAACCCAGCUAUGGCCUAUGCCAACGAGGUGAAACGUGUGGUCAGCAGUGCACAGGAGAAGGGCAGGAAGAUUGCAGCCUUCUUCGCUGAGUCUCUGCCCAGUGUGGGAGGGCAGAUCAUUCCCCCUGCUGGCUACUUCUCCCAAGUGGCAGAGCACAUCCGCAAGGCCGGAGGGGUCUUUGUUGCAGAUGAGAUCCAGGUUGGCUUUGGCCGGGUAGGCAAGCACUUCUGGGCCUUCCAGCUCCAGGGAAAAGACUUCGUCCCUGACAUCGUCACCAUGGGCAAGUCCAUUGGCAACGGCCACCCUGUUGCCUGCGUGGCCGCAACCCAGCCUGUGGCGAGGGCAUUUGAAGCCACCGGCGUUGAGUACUUCAACACGUUUGGGGGCAGCCCAGUGUCCUGCGCUGUGGGGCUGGCCGUCCUGAAUGUCUUGGAGAAGGAGCAGCUCCAGGAUCAUGCCACCAGUGUAGGCAGCUUCCUGAUGCAGCUCCUCGGGCAGCAAAAAAUCAAACAUCCCAUCGUCGGGGAUGUCAGGGGUGUUGGGCUCUUCAUUGGUGUGGAUCUGAUCAAAGAUGAGGCCACAAGGACACCAGCAACUGAAGAGGCUGCCUACUUGGUAUCAAGACAUGGAAGAGAAGGUGAGAAGUUGUGAAACGCUGAGGCUCCAGCCCUAAGCCAGCCCUGCUCUGCCUAAGUGUACUCCAGAAGAAACUCAUCUCAUCCAAAUACACGCUAUUGAGAAGGCGAGCCUGACCUCCCUCUUACAGAUAAAGUCAGCUUUCAGAGGCUCAGGGUGGGGGGGCCUGCCCGAGGCCAUAAUGCUACCCACCCCCUCCUCCUAACCACUGGUCUGUUGGAAUAACCCAGAUGUCUGCAUCCCCUCAAGAUAGAGACUUCCAGGAGUUCCACCUGUCCCACCUUAUCUGGCUGCCAACUCCUGCUCAGAAACAGAACCUGCCACACCCUGCCACUGCAGGCCGCACCCUCAACUCCCAACUGCCAACUUGAAGCCUGAACUACCCUUUCCCUGACCAGAGUUCAGGAGGGGAAGAGCUACACCUCCCUGCACAUGAAUCCACUCAUUUGAAAGCACAACUGACCCUGGAUUUAAGCUGGCCAGGACCCUGGGAGAUCUUUGGAAGGAUUUUUGCCUGGGUUUAGGGUUAACUUAAAGAGGUGCCCAGAAGACCAAGUGAGGCAGUUCAUGCCUGUAAUCCCAACACUUUACAAGGCCAAGGCAGAGGAUGGCUUGAGCCCAGGCAACAUGGUGAGACCAGGCUUUAAAAAAACAUAUGAGCCAGGCAUGGUGGUACAUGCCUGUGGUCCCAGCUACUCGAGAGGCUGAGAUGGGAGGAUCCGGUCCGCCCAUGAGGUCAAGGUUGCAGUGAGCCAUGAUUGUGUUACCGCACCCCAGCCUGGACAACAAAGCAAGACUCUGUCUCAAAGCAAAAAAAAAAAAAAAAAAAAAAAAGUGCUCAAAGUGGAUGGAAGUGGACAAAGACUUGGUUGUAGAAGGAGGUAGAAAGGCUCUGGAAUAAGAAAAACUUCACCACAGAGGAGAAUCAGUGAGUUGCAGAAGUUCUAGGAUCUUCUGAGACCUUAAACUGCAGGCUUCAUACCCCUGGACUCAAGAAUCUAGAACUGUCACCUCUAGCUUUAAGUGAGGAGCUAAAGAGGCUACUCAACCUGCUCUAUUCACAGAGGCCACCUUCUCCUACCUCCCUCACAUCCUGUGUUGUUUAUUGGCAGUCCUCCCAGCCUGAGAAGUCUUUCAAGGAUUGGAACACUGCCCCAAUCAGGGCAGCAUACGCUUCAGAGAAAUAGUAAAGUCUGACCAACCUGGAGAGCUCCUGCAUGAGGCCCAACCCCUAACCCAUCCCUCUAAGGGCCAGCUCUCCAGCAGCACAGGAGGCCAAGCAGAGCUGGGAACACCUUACCUUGCUUCCACUGACAGUAUGGAACUUUUUCUCCAGAACCUUCUUCACGGGUUCUUCUUCUUUAAAGGUGAUAAACACAAAA